RNAcentral lists this ribosomal RNA (497 nucleotides) under uncultured bacterium. Its description in RNAcentral is "partial 16S ribosomal RNA". It matches the Rfam family "Bacterial small subunit ribosomal RNA", at positions 28 to 507 of the family's 1533-position model. The record is from RNAcentral.
GGUGAACGCUGGCGGCGUGCCUAAUACAUGCAAGUCGAGCGAACGGACGAGAAGCUUGCUUCUCUGAUGUUAGCGGCGGACGGGUGAGUAACACGUGGAUAACCUACCUAUAAGACUGGGAUAACUUCGGGAAACCGGAGCUAAUACCGGAUGAUAUUUUGAACCGCAUGGUUCAAAAGUGAAAGACGGUCUUGCUGUCACUUAUAGAUGGAUCCGCGCUGCAUUAGCUAGUUGGUAAGGUAACGGCUUACCAAGGCAACGAUGCAUAGCCGACCUGAGAGGGUGAUCGGCCACACUGGAACUGAGACACGGUCCAGACUCCUACGGGAGGCAGCAGUAGGGAAUCUUCCGCAAUGGGCGAAAGCCUGACGGAGCAACGCCGCGUGAGUGAUGAAGGUCUUCGGAUCGCAAAACUCUGUUAUUAGGGAAGAACAUAUGUGUAAGUAACUGUGCACAUCUUGACGGUACCUAAUCAGAAAGCCACGGCUAACUACGUG